This 1006-nucleotide long non-coding RNA is filed under the name Parus major (Great Tit). RNAcentral describes it as "lncRNA (ENSPMJG00000003200.1)". Lineage: Eukaryota; Metazoa; Chordata; Aves; Passeriformes; Paridae. The record is from RNAcentral.
GGCCUGGAAAUUUGGGAAUUCUGGCCCCAAAAAUUUGGGAAUUCAGCCCCAAAAAUUGGGAAUUCUGGUCCCAGAAAUUUGGGAAUUUCAAUUUAUUUAGAUUUUUCCUCAAAUUUCCCUGGAUUCUUCCCAAAUUCCCUCACAUUCUCCGGGUUUUUCCCGGAAUUCUCGGGAAUUUUCCGGGAAUUUUCCGGGAUUUUCCCCGCGUUCCCUGUCCCGGUUCCCGGCCGGAGCCGCUCCCGGUUUUACCGGGGCUCGUUCCGUUCCAUUCCCCCCCCACACCGGCCCGGUGCUCCCCAUCCACCGGGAUCCCCCCGGGGUUACCCCACGGAAGUUUCCCCUCGCCUUUCCCCGUUCUCCCGGUGCUACCGGGGCCGCCCCACGGGCGGCCCCGGUAGCACCGGGAGAGCGGGGAAAGGCGUGGAAAAGCCUCAAACUCCGCCUCAGGACCCUCUGGGCUCGCCCUCCCCCAGCUCCACGUACCGCGGGCGGCGGGCCCGGCCCGCUCGGGGCUCAGCGGCGGCCGCGGCCUCCUCCCGGUGUCCCCGCCCGGCCCCGCCACGCCGGAAGUGCCGCUCCGACCGGAAGUACCGCGCCAACCGGAAGUGCCUCUCCAGCCGCAACUCGAUGGUAAAGGCGGAGCGAGGGGGCGUGGCUUAACAUGGCAAAGUCCCGCCCUUUCCGUAUCGCUAUUGGUUGGAGGCGCCUCACGUGACCCGCCCUCCCCGCGCGUUGAUUGGUUGAGGUCGCGCACUUCCGGGAGCGCCCGCGGCGGCGGCGGCGGCGCCGUGCCCGGUGAGCGCGCGCGGCGGGAGGUGCGAGCGCCCCCUGGUGGCGGGAGGGGAGGGAGGGAGGUCCCGCUCCCGGUGCCGCUCCCGGUCCCGGUGGCCCCGGUGUAUCGUUCGUAGCUUGUUCCGUUUCCCGCGGUCCUGUCCCCGGUGUCCCGGCGGCCCCCGGUGGUCGCGGUGCCCAGCAGGGAGAUGCUCUCGGUGCCUUCGCGUUGCCG